This 75-nucleotide antisense RNA is filed under the name Streptomyces sp. MJM1172. Its description in RNAcentral is "ASpks sRNA". It matches the Rfam family "ASpks TB sRNA". Lineage: Bacteria; Bacillati; Actinomycetota; Actinomycetes; Kitasatosporales; Streptomycetaceae. The record is from RNAcentral.
UUUCACCGAACCCAGCAGCAGUGGCUGGUCGGCCGGCCGGUCCUGCCCGUACGUCGCCAGCAGCGCCUGUGCCUC